AUACGUAGGGUGCGAGCGUUGUCCGGAAUUACUGGGCGUAAAGAGCUCGUAGGUGGUUUGUCGCGUCGUCUGUGAAAUUCCGGGGCUUAACUCCGGGCGUGCAGGCGAUACGGGCAUAACUUGAGUACUGUAGGGGAGACUGGAAUUCCUGGUGUAGCGGUGAAAUGCGCAGAUAUAAGGAGGAACACCGGUGGCGAAGUGGGGUCUCUGGGCAGUAACUGACGCUGAGGAGCGAAAGCAUGGGUAGCGAACAGGAUUAGAUACCCUGGUAGUCCAUGCCGUAAACGGUGGGCGCUAGGUGUAGGGGUCUUCCACGACUUCUGUGCCGUAGCUAACGCAUUAAGCGCCCCGCCUGGGGAGUACGGCCGCAAGGCUAAAACUCAAAGGAAUUGACGGGGG
RNAcentral lists this ribosomal RNA (399 nucleotides) under uncultured bacterium. RNAcentral describes it as "partial 16S ribosomal RNA". It matches the Rfam family "Bacterial small subunit ribosomal RNA", at positions 523 to 919 of the family's 1533-position model. The record is from RNAcentral.